CUUUUAAAUAUAUGUGGGAUAAAUGCAGUUAAACAAUGACCCAGGUUAUCCAUCAAAACGUAAUCUUCUAAUAUAAGAUAAAUAAAACUUUGGACUUAGAUGUGGUCCCUAUGCAUGUAUCUGAUAACUCAUUUUUCCCAUCUUCUUUUUGAUACUUCCAAGAAGCUUCUUGUUUAUGACUCAUGAAAAUUGUUCCUAAGGAGGGAAAAUGAAUUAAUGACCCCAUCUAGGCCAGAAGUCAUCUUUCCCUUUUCUGAUACUGCUAAAUCACUUUAAUGGAAUCCUUCUGUUUUACCAUGGACUCUAGUUAUUUUGUGCCUAUCUUAUGUUCUUAAUGAAUGCUGAUCUAGGGAUGUCAAUACUGUCUGCGCCACUAUCACUCUGGUCAGUGAGAAUCUGUCCUGCCCACAACCUCUGCUCCCCGAGAAACUGAACUUAACCCAAGUACAACUAAUCCCCAGGUUAGCUGGCAACCUCCUGUGGCCUGGCAUCAAGAGAGGGACUGGAUGAGUCCAUGUCUGUCCCUCAGGAAUGAGGAAGAGGGAAUGUGAGAGAAUAGAGAAUAGUCUAGCAGAACAAGACCAGGAAAGGAGGCAUUGGUGUCGAGUCAGGGCUGUGACAAGCCCACGUCAUGUGCAAGCUGAAUUUAUGGAGGAAUUAGAAGAGCAGAGAAGAAUGCUUCUCUUCUGCUUGGUAGAGAGAAGAAUGAAGCAGAUGCACAGAAGGCUGCAGAGCUAGACACAAAGUAAAGACAAGAACACAGCUGAUUCAGGAGGCCGGGUCCUAUAUCCUUAAAGAUUCCAACUUCAAGCUACCGUCCCUAUGCCUCCAUCCAGUUAAAACCCUCCCAGCAUUGAGGCAACUUGAAGGGUUUCUUUGCCACCAAAGUACCUCCCCAGUUUAGCUUCCUGGUUCAUCACUAUAUACCCCAGUGCCUAGCAAAAUGGCUAGCCCAUGUAUAGCAAUACCAAUGAUUUUCAAAUGAAAGGUUUCCUUUGGUAUUCAUUUAAACAUUCAUUUGUUUAUCCAUUCAUUCAAUAAGUAACUGAAUUUGUUGAGGACCUACUGUGUACCAGAUGAAGAUAUAGCUGUGAGCAAGAUGGCAAAUGUCCAUACUGGCAUGGAACAUACGUUCUGCUAAGAAUAGAACAUUUAUAACAGCAGUGAAUAUAUGAGGAGGGACGUGGCAUUGUGCAUAAGCACAGACUGGCCUCCACCGCUUGCCAGCUGUUUGAGCUGGGAAAACCUUUUCAUCAGAGUCAUGGUUCCCUCAUCAGUAAAACUGACAAAAUACCAAACUUCACAGAGCUGCUGAAGAUGAGGUGAGAUAAAAAAUAUAUAAAUGUCUAGCAUACAGUAAAUAAUAAAUACAGGUAGUUGUUGCUGUUAUGGAAGAUGUCUGAUGAGGGGAGUGACACAGAUCAUGUUUUGGAAGUCACUAGUUGGAAUGGCAUGGAGGAUGGAGUGGAGGUGGGGGAGAGAUCAGCAGCAAGGAGGCCAUAUUUAAAUAAUAACUUCCAAGGCUGAGGAGAAUCCUAAAUGUCAUCAGUUUA
Molecule: long non-coding RNA, 1553 nt
Organism: Equus caballus (horse)
Lineage: Eukaryota; Metazoa; Chordata; Mammalia; Perissodactyla; Equidae
Source: Ensembl